Acipenser ruthenus (sterlet) is the source of this 1035-nucleotide long non-coding RNA. RefSeq lists it as uncharacterized. The transcript has 2 exons. Lineage: Eukaryota; Metazoa; Chordata; Actinopteri; Acipenseriformes; Acipenseridae. The record is from RefSeq and is a predicted model, not a curated record.
GCAGAGGCAGUCUUGAUGCAUCAAGGUGUGUGGGGCGAAUAAAAGAAAGGUGGCGUCUCCUUUAAGCUUUGUCCUUCAACACUCCAUACCUUUUACCUCUCGCAAUGUCUUUCUCUUUUUUUAUUUUUUAACCCUUAAGCACUACCUGCCAGCGACGCCUUGUUUUUAUAAUAACGUCCUUCCGCUUCCAAGGGCCUUUCCUCCUUUUUUUUUCUCCCCUCUUUCUGACUCCUGCAUAAGAGAGUCACAGCAGAUGCCUGCCGGCUGCAGCAUGAAGUGCGUUACUACCUUGUGAUUCCGUGACCCUCCUCUUUGCAUCCCUAACUCUCAAAAGCUGAUUCAGCUUUCAGCUAGUGCUCCGGUCGGUGACUGUACUACUGCUGCUGCAACUGGAAUCUCUCACAGCUGGUCCUGUGCCUCUGUGUACAGCUCUGCCUUGCAGUCCUGCUGUCCGUGAGCCCCAGAAUGCUUUGCUAAAGCUGGUAAAAUGGAACCAAAUCAACUGUUCAAUGGAUUUGGUCCCCUUCAACCAGCUGUAGCUGUGCAUUGAUCGCCCUGCUCUCUGACGCCAGGAGGGUCUGGAGGGUAGAGCACCACAAGCCUGGAGGCUGAAGACAAACAGCCUGCAAGACGUUGUCGAUAAGGACAUUAUGAUGGCUGGCAUCUUCACAUCCAUCAUCGCUGGUCUCAACUGGUGGGCUGAGCCCAGGUUGUUAUGUGGUCCCGGUCAAUGCUGUGUAACUGAUAGUAUUAAUCUUGACCUCACUGCCUUAUUGAUCUGGAGUGUAAUUUACCGUUCUGUAUCCCAACAGGAGAUGGCUUGAAUGGGUAUGUGCAUGUGAACUAAAUGUUUCAAUUGGGCACUUCUCACGCCCCUUUUUUUCUUUUUCAAUGCAGGUAGGUGGGGUUUUCUUUUUAGUUUUGUUUGUUUUUUGGUUUUUUUAAAACGUACGCUUUAAAUAAAUAAAUUGCAUUCCUUUUUAUGAAUUUUAAGUUUGUGUCAAAUCAAUAAAUAUGAAUUGAGUUCAUAAACUA